RNAcentral lists this ribosomal RNA (406 nucleotides) under Cryptocercus sp. MUDA1. RNAcentral's name for it is "partial mitochondrial 16S rRNA gene". Lineage: Eukaryota; Metazoa; Arthropoda; Insecta; Blattodea; Cryptocercidae. The record is from RNAcentral. RNAcentral also lists the same sequence under 1 other name.
UUACGCUGUUAUCCCUAAGGUAAUUUAGUCUUAUAAUCAAUAUAAAUGGAUCAAAUACAUAUAAAUAAAUAUAAAAUAAAUAAAAAGAGUUAAUUAAAUCUUUCCAUCACCCCAACAAAAUAAAUUUUUACAUUAGAAAUUUUCAUACAAAAAAAAUAAAAAUAUAUAAAACUCUAUAGGGUCUUCUCGUCCCAAAAAAACAUUUAGGCAUUUUAACCUAAAAUUUAAGUUCAAAAAAAAAAUAAAGACAGUUAACACCUCGUCAAACCAUUCAUUCCAGCCUACAAUUAAAAGACUAAUGAUUAUGCUACCUUUGCACGGUCAAAAUACCGCGGCCCUUCAAUAUUCAGUGGGCAGGCCAUACAUCAAAAUAUAUUCAAGAAGAGAUGUUUUUGAUAAACAGGCG